UCGUAAACCACUUUCAGCAGGGAAAGAAAUUGACGGUACCUGCAGAAGAAGGCCCGGCCAACUACGUGCCAGCAGCCGCGGUAAUACGUAGGGGCCUAGCGUUGUCCGGAAUUAUUGGGCGUAAAGAGCUCGUAGGCGGUUCGGCAAGUCGGAUGUGAAAUCUCCACGCUUAACGUGGAGGGGCCAUUCGAAACUGCUGUGACUCGAGUCCGGUAGGGGAGUGUGGAAUUCCCGGUGUAGCGGUGAAAUGCGCAGAUAUCGGGAGGAACACCAGUAGCGAAGGCGGCACUCUGGGCCGGUACUGACGCUGAGGAGCGAAAGCGUGGGGAGCGAACAGGAUUAGAUACCCUGGUAGUCCACGCCGUAAACGUUGGGCACUAGGUGUGGGACUCUAUCGACGGGUUCCGUGCCGUAGCUAACGCAUUAAGUGCCCCGCCUGGGGAGUACGGCCGCAAGGCUAAAACUCAAAGGAAUUGACG
Molecule: ribosomal RNA, 479 nt
Filed under: uncultured Actinomycetes bacterium
Lineage: Bacteria; Bacillati; Actinomycetota; Actinomycetes
Description: SSU rRNA
Rfam family: Bacterial small subunit ribosomal RNA
Source: RNAcentral